UGGGGAAUAUUGCACAAUGGGCGCAAGCCUGAUGCAGCCAUGCCGCGUGUGUGAAGAAGGCCUUCGGGUUGUAAAGCACUUUCAGCGGGGAGGAAGGCGGUGAGGUUAAUAACCUCAUCGAUUGACGUUACCCGCAGAAGAAGCACCGGCUAACUCCGUGCCAGCAGCCGCGGUAAUACGGAGGGUGCAAGCGUUAAUCGGAAUUACUGGGCGUAAAGCGCACGCAGGCGGUUUGUCAAGUCGGAUGUGAAAUCCCCGGGCUCAACCUGGGAACUGCAUUCGAAACUGGCAGGCUAGAGUCUUGUAGAGGGGGGUAGAAUUCCAGGUGUAGCGGUGAAAUGCGUAGAGAUCUGGAGGAAUACCGGUGGCGAAGGCGGCCCCCUGGACAAAGACUGACGCUCAGGUGCGAAAGCGUGGGGAGCAAACAGG
RNAcentral lists this ribosomal RNA (429 nucleotides) under Chloroflexota bacterium. RNAcentral's name for it is "Chloroflexi bacterium partial 16S ribosomal RNA". It matches the Rfam family "Bacterial small subunit ribosomal RNA", at positions 355 to 776 of the family's 1533-position model. The record is from RNAcentral. Lineage: Bacteria; Bacillati; Chloroflexota.